Molecule: ribosomal RNA, 2685 nt
Filed under: Triticum aestivum (bread wheat)
Lineage: Eukaryota; Viridiplantae; Streptophyta; Magnoliopsida; Poales; Poaceae
Description: partial small subunit ribosomal RNA
Source: RNAcentral
AUGGUUGCUGCCUUGUUGAAAGAGGCACACUAUAGUCGUGUUCGGGAUGCUGGAUUUGGUGUUGUCUUUGAACUGGCAGUAAAGAAAAAUGUGUCGCACAUUCUUAUGUGCUAUUUGAUGGGAGUGUUUGACCCUACCACCAUGGAUGACUCGUUGAGUGCCCUCAAGGAUGAGCUUGGCUUUGACCGUUCAAAAAGUAUAGGUGCCAAGGACUUGCUUGAGAAGUUGAAGGUGUUGGUGGAGGAGGAUGAUCAUGUGACUGUUGACCUUGCUGUGAAGGUGUUCUUCCUGAUACUCUACCAGAAUUUGUUGUGUCCCGGGCCUGCAGUUCGUUUGGGUAGAGUUGCUGCAAUGGUAGAGAACAUGGAUUAUGCGUCUAUGGCUCAGAUGGACUUUUGCCAGCUUGUUGUUGAUGAGUUGCAGGCAGCUGUGGUGAGGUGGCAAACAGAAGGCAACAAGCAGAAUAGUGCAGAGGGUUGUGCCAUUGUCCCCCUGAUUAUGUAUCUUGACUGCUUGAAGCUUCACAAAUUUUCAGUCAUGCACACGUUGACGCCACGUGCGUCAUACCUGACAACCAAGGACCUGAUGAAGUUAUACAAUGAGGAUGUGCUUGUGAAGGGAAAUAUUUACUUGGAAACUUACAAAUUUGGGAAGCUGCCGUGGAAGGCGUCAGGUGAUAUUGUGUACAAUUGUCCUGUUGUAGUUGUAUGCGGCAGCUCUGAUGCGGGACCUAGCACUCAUGCUAGGUUUUAUGAGCCUAUAUGUAGCCAGUUUCCUGCCUAUGAUGAUGAGGUGCCGCGUACUCAUGGUUUCAUGGCUCGACAGAUGUUUGAUAAUAGAAGCUCUUCUAAACAGACAUUUGUUGGCGGCAAAAAACACAAGGAGAUUGAUGAGCUUCUUCUAAAGAUUGCAGUGACGAAUGUUCGGUCUUCGUAUGCUCAAUUGAGACAUUCACAAGAGGAAAAAUGCGGUCGGUAUGAGAAGGAUGCUGGGCAUAUUUUGGAUGAAAUGAACCGUCAGGACGCUGGUGUUGGUGCUGAUAAUGCUGGAGUGGAGUCUUCUGGUGUCCAUGGAACUAGGGACGAUGGAAUUGCUCAGCCUCAAGAAGAAAACGUGGAAGUUCACGUUGAUCUGAAUCAGGGCAGUUGUGUUGUUGAUGGUGGUGGUAGUGUUGGUGCUUCUGCAUCGGUAGCUGUCGACUGUGCAGACCCUUCUGUAGCUCAAGAAUCCCAUGAUGCUCUUCCCCCCAGUCGGCAUGAAGAUUCUAAUUUUGGCAUUGAAAAGCCGCUGGAGAAUGUCGUCACUGCUACUGUUGUAAAUCCAGAGAAUGCUGAUGUUGCUGCAGAAGCGAAGUCCAAUGACGAACUUUCUGUUGUGACACCGUCGAGCAUUGAUCCAGCUCUUCUGAAAAGAUACAAUGAGUUGUACGCUGCUGUUACGAGGGUUCGGAAGGACAAGAAGAAGAAGGACAUGAUUGCUUUUAAAACUGAGUUGGGUGAUAUUACCAUUGGCGAAGUUGGUCAAUCCUUUUGGGAUAAGGGGAUGCUCACUACAAGACUUGUAGAUCUUGGGGUUUCUUUGCUGGUAGAUAAGUUUAAGGGAUCUCCGACAAUGGUUGUCCCGUACCAUAUUUGUUAUUGGCAGAAAAAUAUUUGGAAUGGUGGUACUGUAGGCAGGAGUGUUAAAAUGAUGUUCUUUUCAAAAGCCGAGGAGCGUGUUGAUAAAAAGGAUAUGGUCCUUUUUGCAACAUUUGAUCCACCAGAUACAAGGGAUGGCGUUGGUGAUUAUUGUGUAGUUGCGUUAAAUGUGAAAGAAAGGCGGUUUGAAUUUCUUGACUCGCUCAAUAAACCUAGCAGCCCUGAUGCGAUCAUGGUUUUUAGGAGGAUGGUUAAAAAUAUCAAGCGUGCAUGGAAAGAAGGAAGCUCAAGUUCUGAUGAGCCGCUAGAUCCUCCUACACUUGAUGGAUUUGGGUUGAAACAUGUCGUUGUCCCAAUGCAACCUAAUGGGCAUGAUUGUGGAUUCUAUAUGUUCCAAUUCUUGCAGACUUGGGAUGGUGUUCGAGUUGCUCAGUUUGGGGUGGAGCACAUUGGCUACAUCAGAACGGCCAUACUCUAUAGUUUUUUUGGGGGGCUUCAUGAAGGUUGUACGUCACUGUUUGAGUCACAGGGUUCUGAUGUGGUUAUGGAGGAUUGCGCCAUUGAAAUCUCUCUAGAUAAUUCUGGUUCUUUGGCUGGAGAUGGUUUGUACACAGCUGUGGCGUCUGGACCUGAUGGUGGAAGUGUUUCUCGCCCUAGCUUCCCACGUGAUGUAUUUGAUGUUGAUGAUGAUGAUUUUGUUACGACGUGUCCUCGCGUCACGAGGACUCGGUGUGCAGCAAUUAAUCAUCCUCUUGUGGAUGAUGUUGAAGUUUUUUCGAACAAGAGGGCAGGUGAGAGGGCUUUUAAGUUGAGAUGCUCUAUAGAGAAAUUGAAGCCUCCGAGGUUCAAAUAUAUUGAUGAGGCGAGGAAAAUAAAGGAUCUUGUUCUCAGCAAAGAAUUAGUAACCAAAUGCCACGAGAAUGCGUUCUUUAUGGUGAACAGUCCUUUUGGUGAUGUUGAUACUUACACUGUUGACUAUAUCUAUAAUACAUUUGGCAAAGGAGCUUUAGUGGAUUCAUAUCUCAUGGAUUUUGUCAUCAAGUACUAG